Molecule: long non-coding RNA, 348 nt
Organism: Homalodisca vitripennis (glassy-winged sharpshooter)
Lineage: Eukaryota; Metazoa; Arthropoda; Insecta; Hemiptera; Cicadellidae
Exons: 3
Source: RefSeq, a predicted model, not a curated record
CCUGCUGUCGAGGUGUGCGUACCUACCUAUCGUUGAGUCGACGAGAGCAUACGAUAUCUUAAUUUUCCGAUCGGCAGAAAAAUGCGGAAAAGUGUCUCUGGAUCGUGAACUUACUAGUGGACACUUUCUAGGAACUGGAUUUAACCAGAGAAAGAAUGAAGCCUAGUGACUACGGGACGUGAUGACGCCAUGAGACAAGAUGGCGUUAUGCCUCACGAGGAGUCUCAACAGCUCCUCUCAGCACCGUUGCCCAAUAAAGGAGAGAUCAGCCCGAGGAGCAACUUGAGUGUUACCAUCCUUGACCUGCAAAGUGCCAUCAGACAGCGAGACCACAGAUCCCAAUCAGAG